CCUACGGGUGGCAGCAGUGAGGAAUAUUGGUCAAUGGACGCAAGUCUGAACCAGCCAUGCCGCGUGCAGGAAGACGGCUCUAUGAGUUGUAAACUGCUUUUGUACGAGGGUAAACGCAGAUACGUGUAUCUGUUUGAAAGUAUCGUACGAAUAAGGAUCGGCUAACUCCGUGCCAGCAGCCGCGGUAAUACGGAGGAUUCAAGCGUUAUCCGGAUUUAUUGGGUUUAAAGGGUGCGUAGGCGGUCGGAUAAGUUAGAGGUGAAAUCCCGAGGCUUAACUUCGGAAUUGCCUUGGAUACUGUUCGGCUAGAGAGUAGUAGCGGUAGGCGGAAUGUAUGGUGUAGCGGUGAAAUGCUUAGAGAUCAUACAGAACACCGAUUGCGAAGGCAGCUUACCGAGCUACUUCUGACGUUGAGGCACGAAAGCGUGGGGAGCAAACAGGAUUAGAUACCCUAGUAGUC
Molecule: ribosomal RNA, 460 nt
Filed under: uncultured bacterium
Lineage: Bacteria
Description: partial 16S ribosomal RNA
Rfam family: Bacterial small subunit ribosomal RNA
Source: RNAcentral